CCUACGGGGGGCUGCAGUGGGGAAUAUUGGACAAUGGGCGAAAGCCUGAUCCAGCAAUGCCGCGUGAGUGAUGAAGGCCUUAGGGUUGUAAAGCUCUUUUACCAGGGAUGAUAAUGACAGUACCUGGAGAAUAAGCUCCGGCUAACUCCGUGCCAGCAGCCGCGGUAAUACGGAGGGAGCUAGCGUUGUUCGGAAUUACUGGGCGUAAAGCGCACGUAGGCGGCUAUUCAAGUCGGGGGUGAAAGCCCGGGGCUCAACCCCGGAACUGCCCUCGAAACUAGGUAGCUAGAAUCUUGGAGAGGCGAGUGGAAUUCCGAGUGUAGAGGUGAAAUUCGUAGAUAUUCGGAAGAACACCAGUGGCGAAGGCGACUCGCUGGACAAGUAUUGACGCUGAGGUGCGAAAGCGUGGGGAGCAAACAGGAUUAGAUACCCCGGUAGUC
Molecule: ribosomal RNA, 440 nt
Filed under: uncultured bacterium
Lineage: Bacteria
Description: partial 16S ribosomal RNA
Rfam family: Bacterial small subunit ribosomal RNA
Source: RNAcentral